RNAcentral lists this ribosomal RNA (498 nucleotides) under uncultured bacterium. RNAcentral describes it as "partial 16S ribosomal RNA". It matches the Rfam family "Bacterial small subunit ribosomal RNA", at positions 28 to 523 of the family's 1533-position model. The record is from RNAcentral.
GAUGAACGCUGGCGGCGUGCUUAACACAUGCAAGUCGAACGAAGCACUUUAUUUGAUUUCCUUCGGGACUGAUUAUUUUGUGACUGAGUGGCGGACGGGUGAGUGACGCGUGGGUAACCUGCCUUGUACAGGGGGAUAACAGUUGGAAACGGCUGCUAAUACCGCAUAAGCGCACGGCAUCGCAUGAUGCAGGGUGAAAAACUCCGGUGGUAUAAGAUGGACCCGCGUUGGAUUAGCUAGUUGGUGAGGUAACGGCCCACCAAGGCGACGAUCCAUAGCCGACCUGAGAGGGUGACCGGCCACAUUGGGACUGAGACACGGCCCAAACUCCUACGGGAGGCAGCAGUGGGGAAUAUUGCACAAUGGGCGAAAGCCUGAUGGAGCGACGCCGCGUGCAGGAAGAAGGCCUUCGGGUUGUAAACUGCUUUUGCGUGGGAAGAAAUUUGACGGUACCACGAGAAUAAGGGGUUGCUAACUCUGUGCCAGCCGCCGCAGUAA